UGGAGAAGGAGAUUGCAAGAAGAAGGGCUGAGCAUAUUAACAGAGUCAGAGAGGAGCUCUCCUCCCUUACAAGUAGCAUUCAGGAGAUGGAGAAGAUGUCUCAGCAGUCACCAGGUGAAUUGCUGCAGAAUAUCGGAAGCACUUUGCAGAGGUGUGAGGAGGAGUUGCCUACGAGUUCGGUGGCUUUCCCCCUUGAACUCAAGUGGAGCAUUGUGGACAUCUGCGAUAUACAUAGCUUUCUGGAGGGCAUCAUGAAGGAAUUUAAAGGUAAU
Long non-coding RNA from Hemicordylus capensis (graceful crag lizard), 272 nucleotides. RefSeq lists it as uncharacterized. The record is from RefSeq and is a predicted model, not a curated record. The transcript is spliced from 3 exons. NCBI's taxonomy places the organism in Eukaryota, Metazoa, Chordata, Lepidosauria, Squamata, Cordylidae.